Molecule: small nucleolar RNA, 141 nt
Organism: Rhodamnia argentea
Lineage: Eukaryota; Viridiplantae; Streptophyta; Magnoliopsida; Myrtales; Myrtaceae
Product: small nucleolar RNA snoR137
Exons: 1
Source: RefSeq, a predicted model, not a curated record
GUUGCUUCCUAAUGGUGAUCUCCCUGUAAUGAAAAGAUGAGGGAUGAUUCAAGUUUCCGAAGCAUAGAUUUCAGUCAGUGUUAAACAGCGCCAGCGUUAUGAUUCAUGUUGCGCUGGUGCUACCUGUCUGCUGAUAUAUUA